RNAcentral lists this ribosomal RNA (482 nucleotides) under uncultured bacterium. RNAcentral's name for it is "bacterial SSU rRNA". It matches the Rfam family "Bacterial small subunit ribosomal RNA", at positions 28 to 533 of the family's 1533-position model. The record is from RNAcentral.
GACGAACGCUGGCGGCGUGCUUAACACAUGCAAGUUGAACGGGCAUACAUGGAAGCUUGCUGAAGUGUAUGUUAGUAGCGGACGGGUGAGUAAUGCAUGAGAAGCUGCCAUUUGGGAGGGGGACAACAGUUGGAAACGGCUGCUAAUACCCCGUAUGCCGAAAGGUAAAGGGAGCAAUCCGCCUGAUGAGGUGCUCAUGUCCUAUCAGCUGGUUGGUGGGGUAACGGCCUACCAAGGCGACGACGGGUAGCCGGCCUGAGAGGGUGAACGGCCACACUGGAACUGAGAUACGGUCCAGACUCCUACGGGAGGCAGCAGUGGGGAAUAUUGGGCAAUGGGGGAAACCCUGACCCAGCGACGCCGCGUGAGGGAAGACGGCCUUCGGGUUGUAAACCUCUUUUGUUACGGGAAGAAGGAAGUGACGGUACUGUACGAAUAAGUCCGGCUAACUACGUGCCAGCAGCCGCGGUAACUAGUCUACG